CGCAUUUAGUGGAACACCACAUGGAAGUGUAAACAAACGUCAAUGGCUUAUCAGGUUUAAUGGAAUAUUUCCGUAGGAUGAAAAGAAAUAGGAUGUUUGUGCAGAUAUUUUACAAAGUUGCUGUUCGGGAGAUUUAAGUAAAGGCAGGACCCGUCGACCGGACUGCAAGAUUAAUCUCUUCAAAAGGAUGUCAUAGCUUUCCAGGUACUUGAUGGAGUGUGUGGGCAGAAAUGCAGAGUGAUACCAACCAGUCAUCUAAACCACCUUUCCACUCACAGACAAGAGGCUCAGGUGGACAGUCGCUGCAGUUUGUAGCCCUACAAACUUCAGAUACUGCCGAUGGUGUAGAUCCAACGCACCGGGCCAUUUUUCCAGCCAUUUGGAAUUGACAUCUCCAGCCGGCCUAGAGCAAGGAAAAUACGACUGCUUAACAGCACGGACCUCUUUCUUGGAUUGAUGGACUCCAAGAUGACCCCAUAGAUCUGGCCUCAAUUUCUCGAAACUUCUUAAGCUUAACAGGCUUAAGUUGCUUAUUUUAAAUAGCCAAAAUACAUACUUAUAGUAAAUUUCGAUGAAUUAAAAAUAGUUUAUUGUGAUAAACGUAACGAUAAUUCCUAUCUAAAGGAUUACAAAUUUUAAAGGAGUAUAUAAAACGCAAAAUAUUGAAAAAUAAAAAAGUGGGUUUAGCUUAAUCCUGUUAUAAGGCACUUAAGAAGUUUCGAGAAAUUGGGGCCUGGCAAUGACUGUGUCACAUGGACGUUAUAGAUAGUGACUGUAAAGAAAUGAUGAUAGCAGAGAAACGAAACUAUCUUGAUAAGGUUUUCUGGUGUUAAAUCAACAGACAAGGCUGAUUCCAAAGAUACUGACAUUAAAAUGGUUGCAGACGUAGACUGAUCAUAUAUGGCAGAAUUAGUGGAUGUCACCUGGGUGAUUUUUGGCAGUUAGAAACUGUAAAAUCCUGGGCAUAUGCCAUACCCGCGCAACUGAACAGAGACCCUAUAUAUCUGUACGAGCUGUACAGUGAUAAACGCCCUGAAGAAAUGAUGACGGUCCUUUCUUCUUCACCCCUGGUAGAGCUACACAGAAAUGCUGGUUUCGCAAGUUCGGGGUGGGCAUCAAUAAGCUGUACAAGAUAAUGGCAGAAAUGAAGGAAGAUGCCGGAAUUGAGCAGCCUCGCAUAUCAUCAUACAGGUCACUGCAGUGUACCAAUAUCCAGCCGUUGCGAACCAACAUCUUUUCUUUCUGUUAGAGAGGUCGAUGUAGCAUUGCCAGCCUAGUUGCUGAAGCCAUGGAGGUAUUUUCAAGGACAAGAACCUGUGCUGGUCAAUAUGUGGUCAUAUAUGGAAUUCCGUCUCCCGGCAAGUGUUUCCAAGGAAGGAAUACCA
Mya arenaria is the source of this 1385-nucleotide long non-coding RNA. RefSeq lists it as uncharacterized. Lineage: Eukaryota; Metazoa; Mollusca; Bivalvia; Myida; Myidae. The transcript has 9 exons. The record is from RefSeq and is a predicted model, not a curated record.